GACGAACGCUGGCGGCGUGCUUAACACAUGCAAGUCGAACGGAAAGGCCCCUUUGGGGGUACUCGAGUGGCGAACGGGUGAGUAACACGUGAGUAACCUGCCCUUGACUUCGGGAUAACUUCAGGAAACUGGGGCUAAUACCGGAUAGGAAUCCUUGCUGCAUGGUGGGGGUUGGAAAGCUUCGGCGGUUUUGGAUGGACUCGCGGCUUAUCAGCUUGUUGGUGGGGUAGUGGCUUACCAAGGCUUUGACGGGUAGCCGGCCUGAGAGGGCGACCGGCCGCAUUGGGACUGAGAUACGGCCCAGACGCCUACGGGAGGCAGCAGUGGGGAAUAUUGCACAAUGGGCGGAAGCCUGAUGCAGCAACGCCGCGUGCGGGAUGACGGCCUUCGGGUUGGAAACCGCUUUCAGCAGGGGCGAAGCUUGUGGUGACGGUACCUGCAGAAGAAGCACCGGCUAACUACGUG
Molecule: ribosomal RNA, 465 nt
Filed under: uncultured bacterium
Lineage: Bacteria
Description: partial 16S ribosomal RNA
Rfam family: Bacterial small subunit ribosomal RNA
Source: RNAcentral